This is a long non-coding RNA of Fundulus heteroclitus (mummichog), 321 nucleotides long. RefSeq lists it as uncharacterized. Lineage: Eukaryota; Metazoa; Chordata; Actinopteri; Cyprinodontiformes; Fundulidae. The transcript is spliced from 2 exons. The record is from RefSeq and is a predicted model, not a curated record.
CCCGUGAGUACUGGAACCUGCCUGUCCCUUAAUCAAUCUGUGCUCUCUGGAAACUGGAUCUUGGAACUGGACCCGGACCCUUCUUUGGAUUUCCCCUUGGAUUUGUCGCCUGGACGUAUUGGCCUUCCCCGUGACCGAACUCAGACUGCCCCUGGACGACGCCCCCCGGAUUUCCCUGUCGCUCGGCUUCCGACACGCUUUGGAGCAAGGACUCCUAAAGAAGUCAUCUCCCCAUCAGGAGUUGUCGGCCCGUAAGCACGAGCAGCACGUCCCGAAAGCCUCCGCUUCCCUGUUUUUUCAAUAAAAUCGGCUCAAGAGCCA